UAACACAUGCAAGUCGAACGGAAGUAUGAAAGCUUGCUUUUAAACUUUAGUGGCAAACGGGUGAGUAACGCGUAGACAACCUACCGCAUAGUUGGGGACAACAGCUCGAAAGAGCUGCUAAUACCGAAUGUUGCAUUUUUCUCGCAUGAGAGAAAUGUUAAAGAUGGCCUCUACUUGUAAGCUAUCGCUGUGCGAUGGGUCUGCGUCUGAUUAGCUAGUUGGCGAGGUAACGGCUCACCAAGGCGACGAUCAGUAGCCGAUCUGAGAGGAUGACCGGCCACAUUGGGACUGAGACACGGCCCAGACUCCUACGGGAGGCAGCAGUGGGGAAUUUUCCGCAAUGGACGAAAGUCUGACGGAGCAACGCCGCGUGAGUGAAGAAGGGUUUCGACUCGUAAAGCUCUUUUGUUUUAGACGAACGAUACGGAUGUGAAUAAUGUCCGUAAGCGACGGUAUAAAACGAAUAAGCCACGGCUAACUACGUGCCAGCAGCCGCGGUAAUACGUAGGUGGCGAGCGUUGGCCGGAAUUAUUGGGCGUAAAGGGAGCGUACGCGGAUAUGUAAGUUCUUCUUAAAAGUGCGGGGCUUAACCCCGUGAUGGGGAG
This 605-nucleotide ribosomal RNA is filed under the name uncultured rumen bacterium. RNAcentral's name for it is "bacterial SSU rRNA". It matches the Rfam family "Bacterial small subunit ribosomal RNA", at positions 49 to 627 of the family's 1533-position model. The record is from RNAcentral.